UUAUUUCUAUGACCAUUGUGGGUUUUUCUUUCAUUAACCGAGGGGUACCAACAGUUUUGUCCACGUGUGUAUUUGGUUCCCACGGUGACCGGAUGUGGCAUGGGCGCACUCUUCUGGGCCCCUACAGACUUGGGCUGUGUGCCCCCACAUUGCAGUCUCAGUCUGCUGUGUCCGAUCUCCGUGCAUGAUCUAGAGGUUACCAUAUGAGCGGCUGCGAGAGAGUAAUGUCUGUGGAUGAUGUUUCCAGUCAAAGCGUUCUCCACCACUCAAGGAUCCUCAGAGAUGUGCACUGCCAGGUAUUUGAAGCUGCACACAAUCUCUACAAGUGAUCUGUUCAUCCUCUGCUGGCUUCUCCCAAAGUCC
This is a long non-coding RNA of Amphiprion ocellaris (clown anemonefish), 363 nucleotides long. The record is from Ensembl. Lineage: Eukaryota; Metazoa; Chordata; Actinopteri; Pomacentridae.